GUUGUUCCAGGGAGACCCAUACAGACAUAUGGCCUGCAGAAUUGUAAGAUAAUAAAUUUGUGUUGUUUCAAGCCAGCAGGUCCUAAACUGACUCUGGGGACUAAAGAAAAAAAGUAUAACUUAUCAUGGAAGUUGCUUAAGUGCAAAAUUAAUUAGGUCAGGGGAGGAUUGGAUAUGGAGAUUAAACUGUCAUGCUUGGAUCUGGAUGAAGAAAAAGAGGGGACUGUGUUGUUAGGUGGAGGAUGGCCUGCAUUCCUGCCUUGUUCCAACGCUUGCUAGCAAGCUGACUUCGGGAAGAUUAGGGCACCAUCCAAAAGAAAAUGGCCAUGUUCUUCCUGAUGAGAAAUGUAGGAUACCGGAUUGCUAGCAUCCUUUCAAGUAGCCCAUUAUAUCCAUGUCUCAGAGAAACCAUACGUAGACACAGCAUCAUCUCUACCCAUAAAAGGUGGCAUUCUGCAAGACUGAGAAGAUGCCCACCUCCAUUCCCAGAGUCCAGGCCUUCAUUAACUCACACGUGAACUACAGAAG
RNAcentral lists this small RNA (528 nucleotides) under Pongo abelii (Sumatran orangutan). RNAcentral's name for it is "processed transcript". Lineage: Eukaryota; Metazoa; Chordata; Mammalia; Primates; Hominidae. The record is from RNAcentral.